GACGAACGCUGGCGGCGUGCUUAACACAUGCCAGUCGAACGGAAAGGCCCUGCUUUUGUGGGGUGCUCGAGUGGCGAACGGGUGAGUAACACGUGAGUAACCUGCCCUUGACUUUGGGAUAACUUCAGGAAACUGGGGCUAAUACCGGAUAGGAGCUCCUGCUGCAUGGUGGGGGUUGGAAAGUUUCGGCGGUUGGGGCUGGACUCGCGGCUUAUCAGCUUGUUGGUGGGGUAGUGGCUUACCAAGGCUUUGACGGGUAGCCGGCAUGAGAGGGUGACCGGCCACAUUGGGACUGAGAUACGGCGCAGACUCCUACGGGAGGCAGCAGUGGGGAAUAUUGCACAGUGGGCGGAAGCCUGAUGCAGCAACGCCGCGUGCGGGAUGACGGCCUUCGGGUUGUAAACCGCUUUCGCCUGUGACGAAGCGGGAGUGACGGUAAUGGGUAAAGAAGCACCGGCUAACUACGUG
RNAcentral lists this ribosomal RNA (468 nucleotides) under uncultured bacterium. RNAcentral describes it as "partial 16S ribosomal RNA". It matches the Rfam family "Bacterial small subunit ribosomal RNA", at positions 28 to 507 of the family's 1533-position model. The record is from RNAcentral.